RNAcentral lists this long non-coding RNA (2282 nucleotides) under Homo sapiens (human). RNAcentral's name for it is "non-protein coding lnc-CDC42SE2-1:8". Lineage: Eukaryota; Metazoa; Chordata; Mammalia; Primates; Hominidae. The record is from RNAcentral.
CACUCUUGUAAUCCCAGCACUUUGGGAGCCUGACGCGGGUGGAUCACUUGAGGUUAGGAGUUCAAGACCAGCCUGGCCAACAUGGCGAAACUCCAUCUCUACUAAAAAUAAAAAAAUUAGCUGGCCCUGGUAGCCAGCGCCUGUAAUCCCAGCCACUCGGGAGGCUGAGGCAGGAGAACUGCUUGACCCCAGGAGGCGGAGGUUGCAGUGAGCUGAGAUGGCGCCACUGCACUCCAGCCUAGGCAACAGAGUGAGACUCCAUCUCGAAAAAAAAAAAAGAGAGACAGAAAGAAAAAGAAAGAAAAGAAAAGAAAUAGUAAGUCUUUAGGUGGCUGCUGUGCAUUGCUCCUAUUACCCACCAUUUCUGAUUUGCUUUAGUCUUCAUUCUUGCAUAAUGGGUAGGUUAACUUAGAAAGAAAAAAGCUUAUGUAGAACCAAAAGUCUAGUCCAAUGUUUUUAAAGGAAAAGCAAAUGACAUGAAUAUAUAAUCAUCUACUGAAGUUACUUUAAAAAGCAAUGAAGCCAACAUGCUUUCUACAGUGCAAGAUAGAUUUUUGUUUUAACCUAGUUAUCAUGGUUGCCAAGUAUUACUUUAACUAUGUAGCUUCGAUUUGUCAUAUGUUUUGGAAAUGAAAUUAGAAAUCUGUGUACCACUUACACCCUGAUCCUCUGAUUGAAGUGUGACUCAUUAUAACCAAGAACUGAUGGGUAAAAAAAAAAAUCUUCUAAGUUUGCUGUGUGCCAGAAUGGGAAAUAUGUGUAUGUGUGUGCUCAUAUAUUUAUAAUUAUCGCUUAUCAUUUAUUUAUGUUUAUUUUAGAAUUGACAAAGAGUAAAGGAGAAUUUGCUGAAAUACUUAUUUAAAGUCUAGUACUAAGCUGUCGGGUACCAUAGUCACUAGCUACACAUUGCUACUGAGCACCUGAAACAUGGCUAUUCUGAAUUGAGAUGUGCUAGAAUGGCACCAUAUGCUACCAGAAAUUCUAUUACCACCCACAAAUGAGAGGACUACCAGCUUGUUACUUCAAAAUAAUGUCACAUUUGCUUUUUUGCCCAAGUGGAAAUAACACAGUAAGUCCCCAUUUGCUAAAUUAUCAGGAAUUCCAGUCUUUUCCCAUGGUUUCCCUCCCCUGUAUAAUCAUAAACAAAAAUCCCAGGCUUGUUUGCUAAUGCCUGAGAAUUGAUGCCUUUGUCUUUAUGGCUUGACAAUGGAGUGGAAACUCAGAUACACUCUUGAGGCUAGAGGGUCACCUCAAAGAUAGUCUAGAGAAGAGUUGGGUCUGUGACAGUGGCUGUGUUUUCUAUUGCUGUGUGACAAAUUAAUAUAAACUUAGUGGGCUGAAACAACAUCCAUUUAUUAGUUCAUACUCUCUGUUGGUCAGAAGUUCAGCACAGCAUGGCCAGGUUCUCUGCUCACGGUAUCAGGCUGAAAUCAAGGUGUUUGCAAGUCAGAGUUCUCAUCUGGAGGCCUGGGGGAGAAUCUGCUCCCAAGCUCUUUCUGUUGUUGGUAGAAUUCAGUUCCUUGAGGGUAUAGGACUGAGGUUCUGUUUCCUUACUAGCUGUCAGCCAAGGGCCACUUUCUGCUCCUAGAGCCUACUUGCAUUCUUUGCCAUGUGGGCCCACCCCCAUCUUCAAGUCAGCAACAAGCAUCACGUUCUUUUCAUUCUUUGAAUCUUUCUGACUUCUCUUUCUGCCAUCAGCCAGAGAAAACUCUUCACUUUCAAAGGCUCAUGUAAUUAGACCAGGCCCACUCAGAUAAUCUCCUUAUGUUAAGGUCAACUAUGACACACAACCUAACAUAAUCAUAGGAAUGCUAUCUCAUCCUAUUCAUAGGUUCUGGAGAUUAGGACCCAGAGUACUGGGGUAAAGGGGUGGUGCAUUUUUAGCAAUCUGUCCAUCACAGUCCUGGGGAUUAUGUAGGGCAUGUACACCAACACAGUGACAGUGGCAGGGAACAUAGCAUCAGAACACUCCCAGCUACCCAGCCCAGCUAGUGGUGGGGUCAAAAGCAAGAGCUGAAUCACUAUGAGGCAGUAACACUUGCUGGGGGAGGAGUGUAGAUGGGUGUGAAGAAUCCUGGUUUGCCAUCGUCCAACUUCACUUCCAAUUUUUACUCACCAUGAACUUUCUUUUUUAAAAAAAUUAUUAUUAUUUUAGUAGAGAAGUGUUUUCACCAUGUUGGCCAGGCCGGUCUCAAACUCCUGAUCUCAAGUGAUCUGUCUGCCUCGGCCUCCCAAAAUGCUGGGAUUAGAGGUAUGAGCCACCGUGCCCGGCCUCAUGAUGA